UGACAAUAGUGAAAAACUUGGAGUCAGUAAUCUUGAGUGGCCCAGUGCACUGCUCCUUAAUGUCUGCUGUUAGAGUUUUCUGUGUUUAGGGUUAGACCACGGCAGGAAGCAAGCAGGCAUUGAGCUGGGGCAGUAGCUGAGAGCUUUGUAUCCUGGGCCUGACAUGGGCUUUUGAAAUGUGAAAAGUGACACACCUCCUCCAGUAUGCCACACCUAAUCUUUCCUAAAUAGUUCUACUAACUAGAGGCCAAGUGUCACACAUCUGAACUUGUGGGGCCAUUCUCACUCAAACUACCACACUGUGUGUCUGACCCUCACAGCCCUCAAAUUAGAAAAUAAGAGUAAAAGUACUCAUCUUGUUGGGCACAGUGUGGGGCCAGUUCCACUGUGGCCGCCCAUGAGUGCCUGAAACCAGAAAGUGUUAAACCUAGGCAUGCUGGUGAGUAAAUGAGAAGGAGAUUAACAGUAACAGUAUGGGAUUGCCCUAGUAACAUCUAUGAUGGCAGGUAUUUCACACUUUUUAGGCAGCAUGGUGGCACAUGCCUGUGGUCCCAGCCUGGAAGGCCUCGAAGAUCAUGAGUUGGCAAUCAGCCUGAGCUAAAGUGAGACCUUCUUUCAAAAUGGGGGGGGGGAGGAGAACAGUAUCAGUUAGUGUUCUGGUGUCUUCCAUUUAAAAUGUUCAGACUAUGGUUGCUACAAAAAGGAUGAAGGUGGGGGCAAGAUACUAAUUAGGCUUAUUACUUGCUGGUGUUAUGCACUCACAAAAUACAUGAAACUCACACAGGAUAACGGCAUGGUGGCGAAUGCCUUUAAUCCCAGCACUGGGGGAGGCAGCUCUCUGUGUUCAAGGCCAGCCUGAUCUUCAGAGUGAGUUCCAGGACAGCCAGGGCUACACAAAGAAAAAAAACCUCGAACCCCACCACCACCAAAAGAAAGACAGACACACAGGAAAUAAGCCAGGCAUGGUAGUUUAUAGCUGCAAUCCCAGCACUUUCAAGGCUAAGGCAUUAGUGUAUGAAAGGCCGGCCUGGGCUAUACAGUGAAACUGUAUCAAAAAUAACUAAGACAUCCAGGUAGUGGUGGCACACACUUUUAUCCCAGCACUCGUGAAGCAGAGACAGGCAGAUCUCAGAGAGUUCAAGAUCAGCCUGCCUAUCUGUCUCAAAAAAGGGGCUGGGGGACAGAGACAAGAUGCUACAGAGAUGGUCAGUAGUUCAAACUGUUUGCUGAGAAAUCUACGAGAGGUUAGGUGCAGGAUUCGCACACAUGCCUGUAGCUGCAGCUCUGAGGAGGGUGAUGACAAGAUGAACUCAGCAUCUUCAGGAAGUGACCCUGCCUCGGAGGAAUUGCACUGAGUGGAGAUGAAGACACUUGAUGCUGCCUUCUGGCCUCCCUGUGCACACACAUGUAACCACACAUAUGUGUACAUACAUACAUAGGUAAUAUACAGGGUGGUGUGCACACCUUUAAUCCCAGCAUUUGGGAGGCAGAGGAAGGAACUCAGAGCUGGAGGUAGGCCUACAGAGUUCCAGGCCAGCCAGGGCUACACAGUAAGAUCACGGAAGGAGGGAGGGGGAGGGGCGGAGCAAGAAGCCAGGGAAGCAGAGGUAGGUGGCGCUCUCUGAGUUUGUGGGCAGCCUGGUCUACAUAUCAAGUUCCAGGACAGCCACAGGAAAUGUAGAAUGUAGAGAGCCCCUGUCCCCAAAACAAAAAAACACUUGUGAGGAGUCACCAAAACCAUGAGAAGAAUGGCUGUGAGCAAAGACACGACUUUCUACUUCCGUCUACAGAGCACACACCAUCCCAAAGAAACGGAACAACUUUCCCGCACCACUGGGGAUGCAGUCCAGACUGCAGCCUACUCCCCUGGCCCUCUCUGUCCUCACUGGUGGCCACUCGCAUCCCUGCCACCCCUUUCUUGCCUGCUCUGAAAGGCACCUCUUCACUCUGCAGCCCUUUCAGGACUGUGUCUCCCCAAACAGACCAAAAUCCUCGCUUCCGGGGGCACCGCCCCACAUCCCCUCAUCUCUGCCUUCUCACGCCGUAGUGGCCACCGAAACCAGAAGUUUCCAAACAGACACAGGGAAGAGUACCUCCCCUAAAUCCUUGAGUUCUCCGGGGUCCAUUCAUUUACCCAUCGGCUCCAGGGGAAAUCGGAGCAAGCAAGCAAGCAAGCAAGCAAGCAAGCAAGCAAGCAAGCAAGCAAGCAAGCAAGCAAGCAAGCAAGCAAGCAAGCAAACGGGACCACAACCCCCACGGCGGCUCAGAGGAAACGUCUAGGCUGCCUUCCCUAGCCCCUGGCUCUUGGGCUUCGCCUCCCCGAGUGAAAGCGGACUGGCCCCUUCCUGGACCGCACUGUGUGAGAUCCCUGGGCGGGCUGACACCAACCAGACGGGCAUGCGGGGCCCUUGGCCAGCACCGGCCUUCGCUGUGAGCCCUCUUCCUGGAGUCCCCGCAAGGAAAGAAGACAAAAGCCCAUCCGUCCUGCAGGGAGGGCGCAGUCCUCCCGGACCCAGCGCCUCCCAACCGAGACCCACCCUUCUGACUACGAACCACCAGGCGCCCCGCGCCGCGUUGGACCCGCCCGAGUGUGCUCGCAGAGGCCUGGGCCCCUCCCGCCCCUGUCCGCGGUCGGGCUGUGGGACGCGGUGAGCCGCUCGAGCGCCCCGACGUGCGGAGCCCCCGGUGUCCUCGCGCUGCGUGCUGGGCGACCUUAGGUAAGUCACCUACCCUCUCUGGGCCCCGUCUCCGACGAUCCCCCGGGACCCCACCCGCCCCGCGGGCCUGGGUCCGCUCACCUCCAGCGACGGGUGCUCUCGGACCAGCUCGGCAGCGGAGCGGGCCAGCCGUACUCGCCGCCCGUCCACCAGCAGCGGCAUUGCCUAAGCCGCUGCCAGGCCGAGGUAGGCGCCCGCCCCGCCCUUCCCCGCCCUGCCCUGACCCGCCCAUCUUGGAGGGCACGCCCCAACCCGCCGCGGGGACUGCCGGGACGAGGGAAUCGAAGUUACGAGGAGGCCGCAAGGCAUCACGGGAGAUGCAGUCCCGCCUGUAGGCACCUUGUCGGAGGCCGUCUUUCGCUGCGGACGCUGGGAGAUGUCGUCACCGAGGCUGGGCGUCCCCGCCUCUGCGUUUCCUCCUGGCCCUUCACCGCCCUCAGCAGAAAAGCCCGCCAGUCCAGUCACCCACCUCUAAACCGUGGAUCUAAAUGUAAACUGUUUUGUGUGACCCCAAGCCAAAGCCAUCGCCCUGACAUUCUCAAGUAGGGCUGAAAAAGAUGCAGGUAAAGUCAAGUUCUGGCUAAGACAGGGUUUUCAGCCUGCCCGUGGUGUCUUCCUCAGCCUGCACUCCCAGCGUUACAUAAAUUACAUAGCUUUUACAAAGUAGUUGACCACCGGAAGGUCCCAAAACACAGGAAUAAGGUCUGUUUAUUGAACUUGGGGGUCACAACCUGUACCCCAAGUCAGGUCCAGUCGCCUGCUCCCAAUAAGCCAACUGAUUAAUUAAAGAGCCUAACUAAAAGUGGGAAGCAGAAAGACCAUAUUCAAUAUGGUCACAUUGGGAAGAAGGACAAAGAGGGCCAGUUAACACCUCAAGUCCAUCUUCGUGAGGUCAAAGUUUAAAUAGAAGGGAAAGGAUAUGCACAUCUAAGCAGACCAUUCACCCAUUGUGGAGAGCCAGAUUCUAGGGUAAAGGGGCCAGCCAAAGAAACAUACCCUUGCUGCUGACCAACUCAAUACAAAAACCAACCAAUCCCGGAACAGGAAAACCCACUAAUCCCUGAACACAAAACUAGACAAAUCCUGAGCAUGGAUUCCACCCAAUCUCUGAGCUUGUCUGAGUUCAAUGAUUGAAAUCUAACCAGUUACCAACUUGAAAUUCCUCACCCUGGAAAAACUGCCCCUAAGAAGCCCUACUGUACCUGUUCAGUUGGGAGCUGCCUUUUGACACUCUGGCAGAGACAGCCAUCCUUCUGGAUUCUUCCCUCCCAAUAAAUCUCUUAAUGUUUGGGUGAGGACCUUCUUUAGCUCAAGUCAACCACACAGAACUGUAACACUUUCACUGAGGAAACCUUCCCCUAGGGAACAUUGGGGAGGUGUGGUGGUAUUGACUUUGUGGUGUUAUUUCUUGGCUCCAGACUGCCAGGAUACGUAUCACAGCUGUGAUGCUUAGACACACCAAACCAAGACUUUCUAAGAGGCCUUAACGAAAAGACAGAGGUUAUUUCUGUGUGCUUGUCCAGAAACAGACUUGACAAAGCCUCCCUCACACUGAAGCCAGUGUCUGGUGUUUCUGGAAACCUGACUCUUCUCCCUGGGCUAUCGUUGUCAGUCCUAAAGCUGUGUUUGCCGUA
Cricetulus griseus (Chinese hamster) is the source of this 4351-nucleotide non-coding RNA. NCBI's taxonomy places the organism in Eukaryota, Metazoa, Chordata, Mammalia, Rodentia, Cricetidae. The record is from RefSeq and is a predicted model, not a curated record.